RNAcentral lists this ribosomal RNA (253 nucleotides) under uncultured bacterium. RNAcentral describes it as "partial 16S ribosomal RNA". It matches the Rfam family "Bacterial small subunit ribosomal RNA", at positions 524 to 776 of the family's 1533-position model. The record is from RNAcentral.
UACAGAGGGUGCGAGCGUUAAUCGGAAUUACUGGGCGUAAAGCGCGCGUAGGCGGCUUUGCAAGUCGGGUGUGAAAUCCCCAGGCUUAACCUGGGAACUGCAUUCGAGACUGCAUUGCUAGAGUAUGGGAGAGGGAAGUGGAAUUUCCGGUGUAGCGGUGAAAUGCGUAGAGAUCAUGAGGAAGACCAGUGGCGAAGGCGGGUCUCUGGACAGUUCCUGACACUGAGGCACGAAGGCCAGGGGAGCAAACGGG